AGUGAACGCUGGCGGUAGGCCUAACACAUGCAAGUCGAACGGCAGCACAGGAGAGCUUGCUCUCUGGGUGGCGAGUGGCGGACGGGUGCGGAAUACAUCGGAAUCUACUCUGUCGUGGGGGAUAACGUAGGGAAACUUACGCUAAUACCGCAUACGACCUAAGGGUGAAAGCAGGGGAUCUUAGGACCUUGCGAGAUUUAAUGAACCGGUGUCGGAUUAGCUAGUUGGCGGGGUAAAGGCCCACCAAGGCGACGAUCCGUAGCUGGUCUGAGAGGAUGAUCAGCCACACUGGAACUGGGACACGGUCCAGACUCCUACGGGAGGCAGCAGUGGGGAAUAUUGGACAAUGGGCGCAAGCCUGAUCCAGCCAUACCGCGUGGGUGAAGAAGGCCUUCGGGUUGUAAAGCCCUUUUGUUGGGAAAGAAAUCCAGCUGGCUAAUACCCGGUUGGGAUGACGGUACCCAAAGAAUAAGCACCGGCUAACUUCGUGCCAGCCGCCGCGGUAA
This 506-nucleotide ribosomal RNA is filed under the name uncultured bacterium. RNAcentral describes it as "partial 16S ribosomal RNA". It matches the Rfam family "Bacterial small subunit ribosomal RNA", at positions 29 to 523 of the family's 1533-position model. The record is from RNAcentral.